Canis lupus familiaris (dog) is the source of this 4503-nucleotide long non-coding RNA. RefSeq lists it as uncharacterized. Lineage: Eukaryota; Metazoa; Chordata; Mammalia; Carnivora; Canidae. The record is from RefSeq and is a predicted model, not a curated record. The transcript is spliced from 3 exons.
UUCAUAAUACCUGCCAGAAUGGUGUCAGAUUUUGAUAAAGUACAGCAGUAGAUUUCUAAAUAAGUAGGAAAGGAUUACAGCUCUUAACUUCAGCAAUAAAACUUUUAAUAAAUCCAUCAACUCCAUUUACCCAUUUUAUAUUUCCUCCAGUGGGUCCUGCCUUUACUGACAAGUGGGGUUUGCAAUCGGACAGCAUGUCAUUGAUGCCUAAUACUUGAGUGAUUUCUUUUUUUUCUUUUUCUUUUUCUUUUUUUUUACUUGAGUGAUUUCAAUCAAAUCAACAAAGCAUUGGCUCAUGUAAAUGCUGAUGAAUACACUUUAUCAAGCUGAUCCAGCUUCUGGUAUCAAGAAGUCAGCCUCUGGCACCCACUCCCUUCACUCAAUCACAUGAGAGUGAGGGCUUGUGGUCAGAUCUUAACAGACACAAGUAUAUUAUCUCAAUUGUUGAUAGUCUGUGUUCCAGUGUCUCUUUCCCAAAUAAACAGACAGUUGUAGCCUUCACUCCCCAAAUUCUGGCAUCCCAGAAAUGAAGAAAGCCAUAUUGUGAUGACACAUUUCAAACCAACUCCUACAGGCUGUGAGCCAGCUCUGAAACAGCUGCCUCCAUAAGUCAUGCACACUAAUCAUCAUGUCAAGGACCCUGGGGAAGCCCUGCUGAAAUCGUAAGAACGUGUGUUGAGAACAGAAAUAGCUCACUUUAACUGUGGUGGAGAAAGAAGAAUCUCCUGGUCGAAGGGAUUUCAGAGGAAACUUUCCGGAGGAGAAAAUUCCUGUCUGCACUGAGCACUGAAGGAUGAAUUGAAGCCAUUUAGAGGAUAACUUUGGGAAGGAGUGGAAAGAAGGAAAUGCAGUCAGAGGAAACAGCAUGAACAAAAUAGCAUAGCAUAAAAAACAUGAUGUAGUUGGAGGAACUACAAGCAAUUCCUGUAGAGGAAAGUGAGGUAGGGACUGGAAGUUGGGGCUGUAGAGGUAGAAAGAGAAGGCCUUUUGUGUGAUGCUAAGUACUCUGGAGGCAGUAGUAUUCUGGAAACGGCUUGCCUGUGCACAAGCUCAUUGUGCAAAUCCCCCCAAAUUGGAGUUCAUUGGCCAAAGCGAGUGCUCCUUGAAUGUGAAAUCUGUGUCUUUGCACAAGAACUCAUGUUUGGUUUAAUGCUUUCUUGUCGCUUGACAGUCUAAAUAAUUUUUUGACAAUCAACCUUACAUAUUCAUUUUGUGGCAGGCCCAUAAAUUAUGUAGCUGGUCCUGCGUGGCAGAGUUUACACUGAAGAAAUCGGCAGAUGCUACAUAUCAGGGCUUUGUCCUGUAAGAGAACCGGUUACCAAACAAAGCUCACCACACCAUUGUCUGGAGGCAAACCAAAAAGUAUAGUUUCCAAGGUAUGACUAGGUGGGAAGCAGGAUGUUAAGGGGCUUAAUGUCUAAUGAGCUCCUGGUUUAGGAGAUGAUAUGCACGUAAUGUAAGUUGUGUAUGUCUUUAUUGCAUCAAAGCAGUAGGUAGUGCCUGCCCAUUCUGCCUUAGUUACUUUGCUAAGUACUAGGAAUGAAAACCAAAUAGAACUCAGUCUUGGGGAAAGAAGGUCAGGGAAGACUAGCCACUUAUGUGAAUCAUGAAGUAGAAUGAGAUUCUGGUGCAAAAGCAAGUGAGCAAGAGAAUUUGGGUCCUUUUAGAGACUGGCACUUAGUCCCAUGUGGCUGAAGUUGUCUGCUUCUAGAGAGAUAGAGUGGAGAUUGAAGAAGUGUCAGAUGGCUCUUAGAUCACUAAAAUCAUGGUCACAAUUUUGACUUAUAUGGCAAGUGGUAGGGAAUCCAUCAUAGGAUAUAAGCAGAGUAGUGAUGUGCCUAGAUGUUCAGUGUGGAAAAAUCCUCUUUGCCAGUGUAGGGCAUUGACUGGAGUCAGGACACUAGGCAAGAUGCAUUUAUAGCUGUCCAGGAUGGGGGUAAGGGGUGUCUGCUGUACCAAGGUGGUGGCAAUGGGAAGAAAGAGAAAAGAGGUGUUUGAAAUAUUUAGGUAAUAAUGGCAGUGUGAUGCCUCAGUGUGGGUAAUAAGGGAGGGGUGAGAAGCUAGAAUUACACCCAGGUUUCUGGCAUGAAUAUCUAUGUGGAAAAGAAAAAGAAAACAAUUUUAAAAAAUCAUGAAAGCAUCUCUUCGAUCCCCUAAACCACCGAUCUUAUUUUUCUUAGAGAGGGUUAUGUUAGUCCCAUACAGGCAAUCAAAAUAUAGCUGUAAAAAUGUAUAGUUCAAUGAAAACAUGCUCCAGAAAGAAAUCAUACAAGGAAACAGCGGUUCAAUACAAAUGCAUCUUGUUUUUAAGCCAACUUGGGAAAGGUAGAUAGAGUUCAGUUUCAUAACAAUAAAACACUGAUUCAUGAGCCCAGUGAGAUGGUAUUUUGCCUCUCAUUGGUGACCUGUCAUCUUAAUUUCAACCGAAUCCAGGCAAGGGGAGAUAUACAAAGAUGAUGAGAGGACAGAUAUAUCAUUGAGGUCAAAUCAGCCACAAGUGGAGUCUGGAGAAUUGUUAGCAGAGGGAGCUUGCUUCAAAUGUCUUGCUUCAAAUGCUGGACGGUAUAGUAUUGUGCAUUUAGAAUUUUGUGCUAAAGGGAAAAAUAAAGCCAAUGAUCAUAAUAGGGAAAAUGAAAUAUAGUCAACUUACUUCCCAAAACAUAUGUGAGAUGGAUUCAGUUUUAUUCUCAAAAUAAUUAUCUUAGACUCUGGGUCUUGGAAACACAAACACAAGGAGUUGAUCUCUGUUCUCAAGGAGCUUAUAAUCAUGAACAUAAAUAGGCAACUAUAAUAGAUGAGAGACUGAAUAUAAAAUGGACAAUGGCCAGACCUAUAAUAAAAGAAAAUUAAACUAUAAAAAUAAAAUUCUGACCUCAAAUCUGCAGCAACCAGCUCAGGAAAAACAAUCCACUAUCUACAGUAAGCAGCUCGGAAGACCAGACUACUAUCUAUAGGUUAGACUCGUAGGAAGUCAGACCACUAUUUCUGGCAACCAGCCCAGGAAGCCAUACAAUAACCUCUAUAAUGAUUGGCCCCAAGUGGCCAGGAUUUGAUUAAUAUCUUACAGUUCCCCCCCCCCCAAAAAAUCUUACAGUUCCCUAAUUCUCUUUUUGUCUCUGCUUCCACCUUGGCACCAACCACAGUAAGCCAAAUAUGUGCCCCAAACCAAUUGCUCAGGAUUCCCUGCUCCCUGUUGACCUAGCUCCAGCUUCUCCAGGCCAAUCAGGGCACCCCUGGAGCCUUCUCUUCUUCUAUUAUAAAGCACUUCCACUCUGCUGUCUCCUUGCAGUCUCUGAAAUACAAGUGGUGGUCCACUCCCUUGUCAUGGCAAGCUCUAAAUAAGUAGCCUUUGCCCACUCUUAGUUGGGUGGUCUUCAUUUAUGGACACAUAGAGAAGGCAGAAGGAAGUAAGUGCUAAAGAUACCUCAAAAACUGCACACUGUGUGGGAAUAAAGGAAAGACCCAUUCAUUCUAUCAGGGAAGGUUGGGAGUGCAAACUUGCAGCAACUAGCUGAAAAACACCUAUGGUACUCUCCUAAAUAAUUUCUUUUUAAAAUUUUUGUACACUAGUGGUAAAAUAACUUGUAGACUUUUGACAGAAGGAGAGAUGCUGUUUUACCUUCAAGGGGAAAGAACAGUUUGGGCAGAUAUAGCUUAGAUCUCCCCUCUUAGCUCACGAAUUGAAGAAAAACUUGAACCACCGAAACUGGAAGGGGCUCAUCCAGACUUCAGGCAUUCUCUGUCAAACAUGAGCAUAAACUGUUUUGAGUAUAAAGGCUGCAUAUUUCAUUAUUAUUGGCUAAGCAGCAUUUUGAGAUAUUUGUAUUUCAGUCCAGUUUUCUCCCUUCCUCUCACUUAUUUAAACAGAUAGUAGACCAUGAUGUUCCUUGUUCAGAGAAGGUUUGCAGCUGACUGAUUUGUUUCCAAGCCCAACCCAUUGAAGAGAUAAGACUGUGGGUCCCUGAUCAGGAAGCCCCAGUAAGACUCUUCUGCUUGGAGAUCUGCUUGGAGGAAUGAGAGGUGUGAUGGAGCUUUCCCCGCUCCAUCUGGGCCACUCUCCAUCACAGAUUAGAAAGAAUUUAGAUCAAAGGAGAGGGAAGUCUCAGGGUCUUGGAGGAAAGUGUCUUGGUUAUGGCUUCCCAGAAGUCCUUGGACCCAGCUAGGCUCCCACGUGUGGAUGGCAACAGCAGAGCCUCGGUAAGCCUCCCCGGCCAUGCAAGGAGAAAUGACAACCUGAUAACCCUUGUCCAGGGGACUCAUCACAGAACUGUGACAAACCUCCAUGCGAGCACCCCAGGGAACCAUCGGGAAACCCUGAAAGUGAUCAAGGUUCCAUUUUCUACCAGACUGGCAUUAUUGGAAUUGAAUCAGAAAUCAGACUGAUUGAUGUAAAUAAAGAGAUGGGGGCUUUUUGCACCUGAGUUUCUGGAUUGUGAAUUGUGGAUACUUAUAUGAAAUUAACACCAAGAAAAGGACCACAGAAUAAAUACUUAAAUUAUCUCA